GAGACGUUCCAGAGAUGUCUUAAGCAUUCUGGUCAUCAUGGAGAUAUGUGGAGGCUCCUCAGUGACUACGUUGGUGGGAGUGUCACUCGAAUGUAUGUGUUCUGUGUGUCUGUGUGCGUGCACACAUGCAAAUGUAUGUUUAAACAUGCACCAAUCUCAUUACUUUAUAUUCACACCACUUCAGUUCUAGGCCCUGCCAGCAACAUGUCUCCAAAGGCUGCUGGAGGGUUGGUACCCAAGACAGAAGAGCUGGUGCUGGUGCUGGUCUGCGGAGUAAGAGGAGGGUGACUUAAUGCCCUUAGAGAAAUCAUCAGUUCCUGCCAUUUCACACAGUUCCCCUUGGUUCGGAGUACAUAAUAUCGGAAGGCUAGUCUCGUUGGUAGUAGCAAAGACACUUAUUUUUCCACUUGCCACCUUUUUCUAUAUCUCCAGUAAUUUGAAAAACAUUUUGGUUGGAACUGAUUUUUGUUUUUGGCAAAAAGAUAAAUAUUUUUAAUAGAAAAAGAUAUAUAUUUUAAAUAUUUCCCCCAAAGUACUACUUUCAUUUUAAGAAAUUGCAUAGCAGUAGCAACAAAUUUUAGUUUCAGGUGCAGAGUGAAAAGCUACUUCCUGUUAAGUGAACAUUCCAGACGCUGGAUCCAACUUACUGACUUUCCCCUUUGCACCUACUGUUGUGCCUGGAAUGGUAUCAACAAUUGUUGUUUUCCAAACUUCCAGCUGAGCAGUAGCCCUUCACACAGAGGCAAAGUGGUUUAGGUUAAGGAGCGACAAGGCUUCACCUCUGAUCUGCUCGGCUUUGGAGGAGGAAAAAACCACUAAGGUAUUAUCUGUAUUUUAAAAUGCUUCCCUUACUUAACUAAAACCUGAACACUUUUUGCUUCUGAAAGAAUUCUGUGUCCUGUAGCUCGCUUGCUUGCUUGUGAAGUUUGUCACAAAUGGAGUUGUCAAUGUGAAUUACUUGGAGACGGAGAAAGACAAGAAAAGGAAAAUAGAGCGAUGGGAGGGUUUGUGGGCUAGAAUGAGAGAAAUACCAUUUCACAAAACAAACAUUUCUCAUGAAUCAUUGGAAUCUGAUUCACCCUACAAAUUUCCCAUGCCCUACUAACUCUGUUCUUUGUGUAUAUGCAUUCUGUGUUUUUUAUUAAAGGGGAAGUUCUGAGAGGUUGGAGGAUCAAGGUCAUUCUGAUGGGAAGUCCAAGAAAUGCGGUGCCCUGGGAAGGGGGAGCUCAGCCCUUUUCCAUAGAGUGGGAGAGACACUUUGGGAACAUGCUCAUGACCCGUUGAUUGUAUCUGCUGGAAGAAGUCAUCUGGGCCUGUUGGGUUAGUGUCAAAUCAGGCGAUUAAGCAUCCAGCCCUUGGCCCCUUUCGUAUAAUUGCCUCUUUUUAAAAGGUUAAUUCGCCUUGGCUGAAGCUUCCCAGGAAAACC
RNAcentral lists this long non-coding RNA (1426 nucleotides) under Lynx pardinus (Iberian lynx). Lineage: Eukaryota; Metazoa; Chordata; Mammalia; Carnivora; Felidae. The record is from RNAcentral.